This is a long non-coding RNA of Talpa occidentalis (Iberian mole), 897 nucleotides long. RefSeq lists it as uncharacterized. The transcript has 3 exons. NCBI's taxonomy places the organism in Eukaryota, Metazoa, Chordata, Mammalia, Eulipotyphla, Talpidae. The record is from RefSeq and is a predicted model, not a curated record.
GCGAGGGAAGGUGAGGACGUCUCCCUGCCGGUGGCUGCCUGCAGAGCGUUGAAUUUCUCUGGAAAGGAGAAAGGAAUCGGCAUUUAUUGAGCACCUGCUGGAGCAACAAGUUCAUCGCUUUAGCCCUUACUUGACCGAUGCUGUGAAUCAAUGAAAAGGCCAGGAUUUUGUGCUUCAGCAGCAUCCUGCAUUAAGGAGCCUGCUCCACGACUCCUGUUUCUUUAUCAGUGUGGUGUUGCCCGAAGCAAGGAUACCUCCUUUCUCCCCCACCCUUUCAGUCAGAAGAACUUUUGCUACAAGAGGUUGUUGUGAUCCCAUCUGAAUUUGAGCCCUAUGGGUUCCAUUUCAUUGAAGAACACCAUUGUGAUUUGUAUUGGAAUUGCAUUGAAUCUGUAAAUUGCAUGCAAAUAGGAAGUCCCAUCUAGGUUUGUUACGUUUUUCCAAUUAUGGAACAUUCAUAAAACAGUGUUAAUAAGAAAUGUAGGUGUUAUUUUCUGUAAUUUCUAAAACAGACAGAGUAGGUCUGUUCUCUAGAGAUGAGGAAAGAAUGUUUCAGAUGGAAAGGCAAAGGCAUUUUAUCAUAGAAUAGAUGAGCAGUUAUUGAUCGUAUAAUAAUAUUAGGAUAUUCUUCCGCCUUCACGCUGAUGGAACGCUAAGUAAGAUCGGCCCUUUGUCAUCUGCUUCAUGGUGCUGUUAGGGGGAAAGGAUGUCCUGAGAUAAUCUCAUACAGGCUUUGUGGACUCCACCCCCACUCCAGACUAAAGCCAUCAGGACAUUGGGAAAGACAAAUCCCAUCACCACCAAGGGGAGGGUGGCUGGGACCUGAGGGUGGAGUUGGGCAGCCAGGUUGGAUAUAAAAACCAAACACGUGGGCCUUGCUCUCUCUCUGGCUCGCGA